AGUGAACGCUGGCGGUAGGCCUAACACAUGCAAGUCGAACGGCAGCACAGUAAGAGCUUGCUCUUACGGGUGGCGAGUGGCGGACGGGUGAGGAAUACAUCGGAAUCUACUUUUUCGUGGGGGAUAACGUAGGGAAACUUACGCUAAUACCGCAUACGACCUACGGGUGAAAGCAGGGGAUCUUCGGACCUUGCGCGAUUGAAUGAGCGGAUGUCGGAUUAGCUAGUUGGCGGGGUAAAGGCCCACCAAGGCGACGAUCCGUAGCUGGUCUGAGAGGAUGAUCAGCCACACUGGAACUGAGACACGGUCCAGACUCCUACGGGAGGCAGCAGUGGGGAAUAUUGGACAAAGGGCGCAAGCCUGAUCCAGCCAUACCGCGUGGGUGAAGAAGGCCUUCGGGUUGUAAAGCCCUUUUGUUGGGAAAGAAAAGCAGCAGGUUAAUACCCCGCUGUUCUGACGGUACCCAAAGAAUAAGCACCGGCUAACUUCGUG
RNAcentral lists this ribosomal RNA (492 nucleotides) under uncultured bacterium. RNAcentral describes it as "partial 16S ribosomal RNA". It matches the Rfam family "Bacterial small subunit ribosomal RNA", at positions 29 to 507 of the family's 1533-position model. The record is from RNAcentral.